This 429-nucleotide ribosomal RNA is filed under the name uncultured bacterium. RNAcentral's name for it is "bacterial SSU rRNA". It matches the Rfam family "Bacterial small subunit ribosomal RNA", at positions 355 to 775 of the family's 1533-position model. The record is from RNAcentral.
UGGGGAAUUUUGCGCAAUGGGGGAAACCCUGACGCAGCAACGCCGCGUGAGUGAUGAAGGCCUUCGGGUCGUAAAGCUCUGUCAGAGGGAAAGAAGUGCAGUGGUGCUAAUACCAUCAUUGCUUGACGGUACCCUCAAAGGAAGCACCGGCUAACUCCGUGCCAGCAGCCGCGGUAAUACGGAGGGUGCGAGCGUUGUUCGGAAUUAUUGGGCGUAAAGCGCGUGCAGGCGGUCUUUUAAGUCUGAUGUGAAAGCCCCGGGCUCAACCUGGGAAGUGCAUUGGAAACUGAAAGACUUGAAUACGGGAGAGGGUAGUGGAAUUCCUAGUGUAGGAGUGAAAUCCGUAGAUAUUAGGAGGAACACCGGUGGCGAAGGCGGCUACCUGGACCGAUAUUGACGCUGAGACGCGAAAGCGUGGGGAGCAAACAG